Long non-coding RNA from Cinclus cinclus, 882 nucleotides. RefSeq lists it as uncharacterized. The transcript is spliced from 3 exons. The record is from RefSeq and is a predicted model, not a curated record. Lineage: Eukaryota; Metazoa; Chordata; Aves; Passeriformes; Cinclidae.
CUGCCGGCACCGCCCCGCCACGGCACCGCCCCGGGGACGCGGGUUCGAGUCCCGGCACCGCACGGCUCCGGGACCGGAGCUCUGCGCCCGCCGGCGGCGCCACGUCUCGGAGGCACGUUUGUAACCCCAGGCACCGCGUUCCCAUCUCCAGCGCCUCAUUCCGAUCAUCAGAUGCCGUGUUGCAGUCUCCAGCACCGUGUUGCUAUCCUCAAGCGCCACGGUUCCUCCUGCACAAUAACAUUCUCGUGUCCAGCUCACAAAUGACAGUUUGAAGCAGCAACAACAUCCUUGUUGGAACAUCACUGUGUCCUGUCCCUGUAUCACUUUCCUGCCACCUGGAUUGUGCUUCAACUGCACCAGGUCUCAGCCAGCUCAUGACAUUUCUGCUCAGUGUGGCCACAGACAGCUGAACCCUGAGGUCUUUCCCUUCUCUGGCCUGAGCCUGCACUUGUCUGGAGAGUUUCUGUGAACAGGAGAAACAUUGGAGUGAGAGCAUCCCUGGGCAAGCUGGAGCUCCUCCUCAUCACCUCCGUGGUCCCAAAGCAUGAGGGGACUGCUGUGCUCUGCUCCCUGCUUGCAGUGAGAUUUCAGAACCUGAAAAUAAGAUUUGGGAAACAUCUGUCUUUGGGAAAGAGUGCCACAGGGAGAGGCACACUGUGGGUGGGAUGGCUCCCUGUCCCAGUUCCCAUUCCAGUUUCCCAGUCUCAGCAACAGGGGAGAUAGGCACGGGCUCAGCCUAGAGGCCAGAGCAACCUCCUCCUCUGUCACCAGCCUUGUGCAACCCUCUCGCCCUCCCUCCCUCCGAGGGUGUGGGAGAAUUCCUGGCAGGCAGGAACUGCUCGGGGUCCAGCUGAGCUUGGGAAACAGCUCCAGGAGCACGGG